Molecule: long non-coding RNA, 780 nt
Filed under: Homo sapiens (human)
Lineage: Eukaryota; Metazoa; Chordata; Mammalia; Primates; Hominidae
Description: long independently transcribed non-coding RNA 2327, transcript variant 2 (LINC02327)
Source: RNAcentral
AUUCUCCUGCCUCAGCUUCCGGAGCAGCUGGGACUGCUGGCGCCCGCCACUACGCUCGGCUAAUUUUUUUGUGUUUUUAGUAGAGACGGGCUUUCACCGUGUUGGCCUAGCGGUUCUCCAACUCCUGACCUCAUGAUCCCCCCGCCUCAGCCUCCCAAAGUGCUGGGAUUACAAGCGUGAGCCACCGCGACCCGCCAACACUCUUGACAACAGUGCUGUGCUAAGAACUUGGGGGACUUCAAAAAGUUCACCAGUUCCUGUGUCCAUGGGUGAAAAGAUUUUCUACAUCUUUCCUUGACUAGAAACAGAAGUCCUGAAACAAGAAUAUAACGUCAGGAGGCCAGAGGCUUUGUCCUGCCUAAUGUGUUAUUUCCACACUGAAUAAAAGCACCUGAGUCCUGCAUUUUAAAAAGGUUGUACAUCUAGCAAUACCUAACAAAAUAGGAAAUCAACUUGGAAAGCCAAUGGCUGUGUUUUGAGUUUAUGGAGAGCCAUAUGUGGCAAGGAACUGAGGGUGGCAUCCAGGCAACAGACUUCAAGAAACUGAGGCUGUCAGUCCAACAACCCACAAGAACUGAAUCUGACCAACAAUCACAGGAACAAACUUAGAAGUAUACUCUUUCCCAGACAAACCUUCAGAUGAGACCACAGCCCCAGCCAUAAGCUUGAAAACAAUCUCAUGAGGGACCUUGAGCCACAGGCAUGUAGUAAAGCUAUGCCAGGAAUCCUGCCUGCCCCACAGAAAAUGUAAAAAAAAUAAAUUUUUAUUGUUUUAAGCCA